CAUACCCACUAUUCGCCAGAAUACUACAAGCAAAACGCUCAAAACUCAAAGGACUUGGUGGUGUCCCACAUCAUCCUAGAGGAGCCUGUCCUAUAAUCGAUACUCCACGUUACACCUCACCAUCUUUAGCCCCUCAGCCUAUAUACCGCCGUCGCCAGCCUACCCCAUGAGGGUCAAACAGUAGGCAAAAAUGCCUAACACAAAAACGUCAGGUCAAGGUGUAGCUUAUAAGAUGGAAGAGAUGGGCUACAUUUUCUAAACUAGAAAACACGAAUAGUGCAAUGAAACCAAGCACUACGAAGGAGGAUUUAGCAGUAAAAUAAUAAAAGAAAAACUAUUUUAAACAAGCUCUGGGACGCGCACACACCGCCCGUCACCCUCAUCAACAAUAACACUACACCAACAUAUAACCCCGACCAACUAUAAGAUGAGGUAAGUCGUAACAUGGUAAGCGUACUGGAAAGUGUGCUUGGAUUACAAAAAGUAGCUUAAAUUAAAGCAUUCAACUUACAAUUGAAAAAUGUUAUCCACCCAACCUUUUUGAGCCAAUACCAAGCCCAACAUCACCCCCAAUCCAACCACUUUAAAAAACAAAUCAUUUGACUAGAGUAGUAUUGGAGAAAGAAC
RNAcentral lists this ribosomal RNA (627 nucleotides) under Zonosaurus tsingy. Its description in RNAcentral is "partial 12S ribosomal RNA". The stretch from base 1 to 485 matches the Rfam family "Bacterial small subunit ribosomal RNA", at positions 856 to 1533 of the family's 1533-position model. Lineage: Eukaryota; Metazoa; Chordata; Lepidosauria; Squamata; Gerrhosauridae. The record is from RNAcentral.